CAGGGCCCCACCUUUAGGUUCAUGGACUCCUGGCCAAGAAUCCUUGAGUCUAAACUAUGGAGUCUGUCAGCCGCCAGGUGGGGGCCAAAGGCAGGUCUGCAGGUCUGCAGGUCUGCAGGUCAGCAGCCUGGACUGGGCACAUGGGAGCUGGCUUUUCAGCUUCCCCUUUUGUUGUUUGGCUCUGUGCACAAGAAAGCCCCAGCCCCUCCCCCAGCUCCCCCUUCCCGUCCACAUGCCCCCCCACACACACACACCCACCCCAGCUGUUGGACAGAUGAAUUACAGCCUCCGGCUUGGGGCCAGGGCUGGUGAGGGAUUAAAGCUCUGGGGCUGGCCCUUUAAAUGGCUGCUAGCCCCUCCCCCACCCUGGUAUCCAGACACCCCAUACACACCCCUCUGACCCCCUUGGCUAACCCUCACUCCUCUUGGUCUGUCCAAAGGCCUGCCACUUCCCUCUCUCUAGGCUAGACCCUCCCCAGCAUCCCCUUCUUCCCCAACACAACCACAUACACAAAUGCUACAGACUUCACACACAUACAAACACACACACACACACUCACUCACCCCCUGGUCUACAUUCACACACACACACACACACACACAGAGUCACUCACUCACCCCCUGGUCUCAUGUUCUGAGCAUCCCUCUUCUGGAGGUUCCAGCCUCAAACUCCCUUCUCCAGCAGAAGGACCUUGCCUGCCUGGCUUCCCUAGCCUGCAGCAGACCACUACCCUGGCCAGGUUCCCCCAGGCACCAUGCCAGCCCCGUAGAACCACCCACCCCACCCACUGUGGUCUGCUGCACCCCAUUGCUGGGGCACUGGUUCCAAUGAGACAGGGCACACCAAACUCCAUCUGGUAAGUCCUACCCCUCACCACUACCCCCAACAGUCCAACUCUGCACCACAUGCAUGAAGGACUGGUAUGAUCUAGAUCAUGCCUACUCCCCAGAAUGGUCCAGUCCAACUCAGAGCACCCCCUACCAUGUGGUGCUUGGGUGGUUCAGCCUUCCUCAUUUAUGGAGCUCCCCUCUGUUGCCUAUGAAUGGUUCAUCCCUGUACUUCACCAGCCUCUCUACUACCACCAAAAAAUCUUUUCCCCCCAGUGCUACAACUCAGUUGCUUACUGAAUUGAAUUAAGCUAGGGUUUGUGAGCUGGAAAGUAGAGAUGAGAUACCCUGGAGAAAUUUUUCUUGGCAAGUGAGAGGGGUUAGCCCCUGUAAGAGUUGUUGAACAGCCUAGCUUUUAUGGAAGGUGAUUGGAAAUUGAUUUGGAGAGAUACUGGAGACCACUGU
RNAcentral lists this long non-coding RNA (1293 nucleotides) under Camelus dromedarius (Arabian camel). RNAcentral describes it as "lncRNA (ENSCDRG00005009986.1)". The record is from RNAcentral. Lineage: Eukaryota; Metazoa; Chordata; Mammalia; Artiodactyla; Camelidae.